Long non-coding RNA from Amphimedon queenslandica, 487 nucleotides. RefSeq lists it as uncharacterized. Lineage: Eukaryota; Metazoa; Porifera; Demospongiae; Haplosclerida; Niphatidae. The record is from RefSeq and is a predicted model, not a curated record. The transcript has 3 exons.
UGUUGAGUUUUUGUUUGUUUGCUGACUCUUUCAUCUGAGAGUUAUCUGUGGUUUUAUCUUAUCCUAAACCCGUCCGUCAUGAUUUUAUCUUCUUCAAGUCUACAACAGAGAAACCGAGAGGAGCAGCUCCAACAAAUUUGACGAUUGGUACGCGCAGCAGCCUAUGACGAAUCCUCAGUCGUAACUCGUAGGAGAUAUAAUACUCGGACUGCCGGGACUAUUGAGUAGGGAGUAUGGAACACGGAACUUUUUGAAGGAGUGUAGAACAAAAUAAACACAUGACACAUACCGUACUCUAUGAUGUCUACCAAAGAGAAAAGUGGCAGUCAACUCUUUGCAUGGAAGGUACUGAAGUAUUUUCGUAAUUCAAACUGAAGAAGGCAUUUAGAUUCAAGAAGGGGCGGUGCAAGACUAGGUGAAAUAGAAUUGGAAGCUCUGUGCAGGCAGGAGUCCUGGUGCAGUCUGUAAAUGUUCAAGAAAUACUGUG